Molecule: ribosomal RNA, 291 nt
Filed under: uncultured Rickettsia sp.
Lineage: Bacteria; Pseudomonadati; Pseudomonadota; Alphaproteobacteria; Rickettsiales; Rickettsiaceae
Description: partial 16S ribosomal RNA
Rfam family: Bacterial small subunit ribosomal RNA
Source: RNAcentral
AAUGAACGCUGGCGGCAUGCUUAACACAUGCAAGUUGAACGAACUAUUAGGGCUUGCUCUAAUAUGUUAGUAGCAGACGGGUGAGUAAUGCGUAGGAAUCUACCCAUCAGUACGGAACAACAUUCGGAAACAAAUGCUAAUACCGUAUAACCUCUUAGGAGAAAAGAUUUAUCGCUGAUGGAUGAGCCUGCGUCAGAUUAGGUAGUUGGUAGGGUAAUGGCCUACCAAGCCUGCGAUCUGUAGCUGGUCUGAGAGGAUGAUCAGCCACACUGGGACUGAGACACGGCCCAG